This 459-nucleotide ribosomal RNA is filed under the name uncultured bacterium. Its description in RNAcentral is "partial 16S ribosomal RNA". It matches the Rfam family "Bacterial small subunit ribosomal RNA", at positions 338 to 795 of the family's 1533-position model. The record is from RNAcentral.
CCUACGGGAGGCAGCAGUGAGGAAUAUUGGUCAAUGGGCGAGAGCCUGAACCAGCCAAGUCGCGUGAGGGAAGACGGCCCUAUGGAUUGUAAACUUCUUUUGUCGGGGAGCAAAAUGCGGCACGUGUACCGUUUUGUGUGUACCCUGAGAAAAAGCAUCGGCUAACUCCGUGCCAGCAGCCGCGGUAAUACGGAGGAUGCGAGCGUUAUCCGGAUUUAUUUGGUUUAAAGGGUGCGCAGGUGGCGGUUUAAGUCAGCGGUAAAAUUUUGGGGCUCAACCCCGACAAGCCGUUGAUACUGGCAGGCUGGAGUGGGGGAGAAGUAUGCGGAAUGCGUGGUGUAGCGGUGAAAUGCAUAGAUAUCACGCAGAACUCCGAUUGCGAAGGCAGCAUACCGGAGUGCAACUGACGCUGAUGCACGAAAGUGUGGGUAUCGAACAGGAUUAGAUACCCCGGUAGUC